GUGGGGAAUAUUGGACAAUGGGCGCAAGCCUGAUCCAGCAAUGCCGCGUGCAGGAAGAAGGCCUUCGGGUUGUAAACUGCUUUUGUACGGAACGAAACGGUCCUGGUUAAUACCUGGGGCUAAUGACGGUACCGUAAGAAUAAGCACCGGCUAACUACGUGCCAGCAGCCGCGGUAAUACGUAGGGUGCGAGCGUUAAUCGGAAUUACUGGGCGUAAAGCGUGCGCAGGCGGUUUUGUAAGACAGGCGUGAAAUCCCCGGGCUCAACCUGGGAAUUGCGCUUGUGACUGCAAGGCUGGAGUGCGGCAGAGGGGGAUGGAAUUCCGCGUGUAGCAGUGAAAUGCGUAGAUAUGCGGAGGAACACCGAUGGCGAAGGCAAUCCCCUGGGCCUGCACUGACGCUCAUGCACGAAAGCGUGGGGAGCAAACAGGAUUAGAUACCCUGGUAGUCC
RNAcentral lists this ribosomal RNA (450 nucleotides) under uncultured bacterium. RNAcentral's name for it is "partial 16S ribosomal RNA". It matches the Rfam family "Bacterial small subunit ribosomal RNA", at positions 354 to 796 of the family's 1533-position model. The record is from RNAcentral.